This 463-nucleotide ribosomal RNA is filed under the name uncultured bacterium. RNAcentral describes it as "bacterial SSU rRNA". It matches the Rfam family "Bacterial small subunit ribosomal RNA", at positions 29 to 507 of the family's 1533-position model. The record is from RNAcentral.
ACGAACGCUGGCGGCGUGCUUAACACAUGCAAGUCGAGCGGUAAGGCUCCUUCGGGAGUACACGAGCGGCGAACGGGUGAGUAACACGUGAGCAAUCUGCCCUUCACUUUGGGAUAACUCCGGGAAACCGGUGCUAAUACCGAAUGCGACCACUUCAGGCAUCUGACGGUGGUGGAAAGUUCCGGCGGUGAAGGAUGAGCUCGCGGCCUAUCAGCUUGUUGGUGAGGUAAUGGCUCACCAAGGCUUCGACGGGUAGCCGGCCUGAGAGGGUGACCGGCCACACUGGGACUGAGACACGGCCCAGACUCCUACGGGAGGCAGCAGUGGGAAUAUUGGACAAUGGGCGAAAGCCUGAUCCAGCAACGCCGCGUGAGGGAUGACGGCCUUCGGGUUGUAAACCUCUUUCAGCAGGGACGAAGCGAAAGUGACGGUACCUGCAAAAGAAGCACCGGCCAACUACGUG